This 1384-nucleotide ribosomal RNA is filed under the name marine metagenome. RNAcentral describes it as "bacterial LSU rRNA". It matches the Rfam family "Bacterial large subunit ribosomal RNA", at positions 1091 to 2475 of the family's 2925-position model. The record is from RNAcentral.
AGCCAGGAGGUUGGCUUAGAAGCAGCCAUCCUUUAAAGAGUGCGUAAUAGCCCACUGGUCAAGGGGCCCCGCACGGAAAAUAAACGGGGCUAAGCAUAUCACCGAGACUGCGGGAUCUAUUUAUAGAUCGGUAGGAGAGUGUCGUUAAAGCAUUGAAGCUAAGCUGUAAGGCUUGGUGGAGUUUUAACAAGUAAGAAUGUUGGCAUGAGUAGCAAAAAUGCCGGUGAGAAUCCGGCAGGCCGUAAGUCUAAGGAUUCCUACGCAACGUUGAUCGGCGUAGGGUUAGUCGGUCCUAAGGCGUAUCCGAAAGGAAAAGUCGAUGGACAGCUGGUGAAUAUUCCAGCACCUAUAAUUAAUUGUUUGAGUCAAAGGGGUGACGCAGAAAGAUAAACAGAGCAUACGUAUUGGACAUCGUGUGUUUUUGCCUGUAGAUGAGUAGAGAAGGUUAAAAUAUUUUCUACGUUUGAAUUGAGGGGUGAGAAAACUAUGAGGUUCGCCUCGUAGAAUUCUGUCGACUCUAAACUGCCAAGAAAAGCCUCGUUGAUUAGAUUUUUCAUAGACCGUACCGCAAACCAACACAGGUAGACAGGGAUAAACGUCCCAAGGCCAUCGAGAGAACCAUCGUUAAGGAACUCGGCAAAUUGACCCCGUAACUUAGGGAGAAGGGGGACCUUUUGUGUAUAUGAGUUUACCUCAAAAAGCAUGGAAGGUAGCAUAAAAUAGGCUGAAGCGACUGUUUACCAAAAACACAGGUCCAUGCCAAAGCGAAAGCUGAUGUAUAUGGGCUGACGCCUGCCCAGUGCCGGUAGGUUAAGGAAAGUUGUGCAAGCAACUGACUGAAGCCCCGGUGAACGGCGGCCGUAACUAUAACGGUCCUAAGGUAGCGAAGUCCCUUGUCGGGUAAGUUCCGACCCGCACGAAUGGCGUAACGACUUCAGCACUGUCUCAACGAUGGACUCGGUGAAAUUGCAGGACCGGUAAAGAUGCCGGUUACGCGCAGCAGGACAAAAAGACCCCGUGGAGCUUUACUGCAACUUGGCAUUGGUUCGAGUUUUAAAAUGUGUAGGAUAGGCGGGAGACUUUGAACUCUAGGCGUUAGCCUAGGGGGAGUCGCCCUUGAAAUACCGCCCUUUUUAUGAUUUGGACCUAACACUUUUGGACAGUGUCUGGUGGGCAGUUUGACUGGGGCGGUCGCCUCCCAAAGAGUAACGGAGGCGUACAAAGGUCACCUCAGGCUGGAUGGAAAUCAGCUUUUGAGUGCAUUGGCAUAAGGUGGCUUGACUGCGAGACAUACAAGUCGAGCAGGGACGAAAGUCGGUCAAAGUGAUCCCACGGUUCCGAGUGGAAGGGCCGUGGCUUAACGGAUAAAAGCUACCCCGGGGAU